Molecule: long non-coding RNA, 2264 nt
Organism: Salvelinus namaycush (lake trout)
Lineage: Eukaryota; Metazoa; Chordata; Actinopteri; Salmoniformes; Salmonidae
Exons: 3
Source: RefSeq, a predicted model, not a curated record
CCAUUCUGCAGAAUAAGGAUCAGAACUUUACAGAGGUAAACUGUGUCUGUUCUUUUUACUAUUACAGCAGUUCAUCGUGGCCCUGUCAUUCGCCUCCUUCACCAAAGCUCUGUCAGCGACCUACAUGAAGAGUGCCAUCACUCAGAGAGACACUUUGACCUGUCCAGCUCUCUCAUCGGACUCAUAGACGGCAGCUUUGAGAUGGGUAACCUGCUGUUCCUGGCUGUGGUCAGCCAUUUUGGGGCGAAGCUGCACCGGCUCAGGCUCCCCGUGUCCUUGUUCAGAUAAUCACCCCAGUUGGCCUUUUUCUCUUCAUCUAGUAUGCCCAACAUUGACAACGGUGUACAGUUAAAUCUCGGAUUCCCCUGUGGAUGAUAUGGAGAGGUUCUGGAAUUGGCUAUUCCCGUACAGUUCUGCAAGGCUCUGAAUAACUGAUUUUCAAACUCUCUUCACUGAUCAUGAUGGAUUUUUGACACAAAGCCAAACUUUGGGAAAAAAUCAUCGAAAAGCUUUUUUGCUGCAGUUUUCCCUGACUUAUUUCUAGUGGGGUAGGCUUGUGCAAAUUUUGUAAAGUUAUCUAAAAUAACUCAAAUGUACUCAUAGCCCCCUCUGCUUUUCUCCAAAUGCACAUAGUCAAUUGAAAUCAUCUGGAAAGGAGCUGUAGCUCGUACAUGUUGCAUUGGGGCCCUAGUUAUUACACUGGGUUUCUUUUGUUUGAUAUACUUACACACUUUGGUGAUAAAGUGUUCAAUGUCGUGUUGCAUGCGCGGCCAAUAAAAACGUUCUCGUGCUAAGUUCAACACUCUUUCUGUUCCUAGAUGGGCCAUUUCAGUGUGUAAGUACUUGUAAAUCAGUGUUCUAUACUGACUUGGUACCACAACUUGUUUCCUUUCUGCUGUUUUCCUUUGUAAUAAUCCAUCUGGUGAGACAUGGAGCCUGUUUCACUCUCGCAGUAACUGUUUGACUUUGUAUGACUCUUGUUGACAUUCUGUUGGUUUAGGCUUAGUCCCGCUUAGUCCUUUGACUUUUCAGUUCCAAGAUUCUCGAUACAGCCGCAUCCUUUAAUUGAGCCUGCAUGAUAUCGUUGUGGAGACAGUCGGUCUGUAACUGUUCCACCCCACCAUGACAGCUCAUCUUGCACUGAUGGCCUUAGUGUGACCGUGGAUAUCCACGUUACACAGUCAUUCUGUUGUGUCUGAACAUUAUUGAGUGUUGCUUUUACCAUUUCAAGUGAGUGUUUCUCAGUGCAUUCUUCCAUGUAAUGUUCAGCAUGCAAAGGAGAGCGUGACAGAAAGUCUGUGUCAUUGUUUACCUUUCCAGGACGAUACUUCAGUGUGAGAUUAAAGUCAGACAGCUCUGCCACCCAGCGAUGACCGGUGGCAUUCAGUCUUGCUGUAGUUAGUACAUAUGUCAAGGGGUUAUUAUCACUGUACACUGUCACAGAGGGAGCAUAAAAUAGGUAAUCUCGGAACCGCUCAGUCACUGCCCAUUCGAGGGCCAAGAAUUUCAGUUUCCCUGAGUGAAGGUGAUAGUUUCUCUCUGCUUGAGUCAGGAUGCGGGAGCCAUAUCCAAUGACUCUCAGUUUGCCACUUUGUCGUUGGUAUAACACACCUCCCAAUCCUUCUUCAGAGGCAUCAACAUGCAGGAUAAAAGGCUCCUUGAAAUCUGGGUAAGCAAGCACAGGUGGAUUAGUCAACACACUCACCAAGUGUUCUAAUGCUCUCUGGUGAGCAUCCUCCCAUAUAACUUUCUGGUGGGGCAGAGCCUGUCCCGACUGCACAGCUACCUUGGUCCUUCGCUUCCCGGAUGCUGGGGUCUUCGUCUUUACUGCUAGUAAGUCAUAGAGACAUUUAGCAUGUUGUGAAAAGUUCUGUACAUAACCCCUAUAGUACCCUAGAAACCCCAGUAGUUUCCUCAGCCUGCUCACGUUUGUUGGUGGCCUGUUUACCAGUUCUUGCACUGCUACAAUUUCUUUAACAUCCAUUCUGUAACCCUCAGCAGAAAUCAUUUUUCCUAAAUAACAGACCUCAUUCUUGAUUAGGUCACACUUAUCAGCCCUGAGUUUAAUACCCCAUUUAUUUUGCUGCCUAAGUACCUGACGGACAUCUUCCACAUGUUGUUCAAAUGACUGACUAAAAAUAAGAAUGUCAGAAUCUGUAUACCAUAUUUGGAUAUCUCUUAUCCCCUCUAAACUUUCCUCCAUGCUUCUUUGGAAGGCACUAUAUGAAAAACUUCUCGUUCAUCAUCACCAACAAACGACUAAG